Struthio camelus australis is the source of this 1854-nucleotide long non-coding RNA. Lineage: Eukaryota; Metazoa; Chordata; Aves; Struthioniformes; Struthionidae. The record is from Ensembl.
GCACCAUCUAUACUAAAGCAUAAAGGUAAAAUGCCCCCAGUGGAAGAAGACGAGAUUGAGUCAAUUGUGUUAAAGAAGAUUUCAGUUGAGAAACACUUGCGUGUGAAAGAAAGUGCAAGUCCUAAGGAGACAGUUUUGGACAUUCAGGCAGGAGAGCCACUUGAGCUAAAAAUCUUGCCAAAACCAGUUUAUAGAAUACUGAAGCCAGAGGGAGAUGAGCAGGAGAAUCUUAAGGAGGAUCUUAAAUAUUUUAUGAUGGCUCCUGAAGGAUGGGAGCCAGAAAUGACACGUAUAAAUUCAAGAAAGACUACUACUCUUACAUAUGAUAAAAGAGAAACUGCAAUAGAUCAAGUCACUUAUGCAGAGGAUAAACCACAAGCACCUAAUGAGGAAAUGAAAUUGAUUUAUUUAGCAUCUGAACAUAUGGAAAGAGAUUACAGUGAAGAAAAGGGGGGUAAAACUAAGUUAGUCAUUCAGAAGGAAGAUGCUGUUGAGAGACUGCUGGACAAGACUAGUGUUCCUCACAAAGAAAAGAUUCCUCUGCAUGAAAAAGAAGAGGCAGCUGAGUCAAUUCCUGUACCUAAAUAUAGCUCCAGAGAGCCUAAUAGACACAGAGACCAGAAAACAGUCCUAAGAAAAGAGAGAAAAUCAAAAAUCAGAUUGCAACCUGAAGAAUUUCCCAUUAAGGGUAAAGCUUCAUUUGUAAAGGAUAUCACAGAGACAGGAAUAGCUGAAACACCUCCGAUUAAAAGUGAAGAAGAAAGAGGAGAUUUUACUCUAGAGAAAUCUGAAGAAGUUCCUCUUGGAGAAUCCGUGAAGAAGUAUGACAUAGAAAAGAAAAUUCACCAGACAGAGAAAUCUUGUACCACAGUAGCUGAUAUCCCUAUAGAAAAGAUUCUUAGUAAAGAAGUAAAGAAAAUGGAAAUUAUUCAAAACAAUGAGAAAGAUGAGAAUCUGGACCUUACAUCAGAAAAACUAGAUUCCUUAGAAUUGCCUGAGGAGACUGAACCAAUAUUGAAAAAUGAUGUUGACUUGGAACAAACCACUGAAGAUGAGGAGCUUCCCAGAAAAAGAGCUUGCCAAAUCUUUAAGCAGUCCAUUAAGCCACAAGUAGUGGAAAUGAAAGCAGGAGGAAAAUAUUCUACAGAGGAAGGAGAACCCACUGAAGCUCAUUAUGGGGAACGUUCAGGACCAUUGUUGAUUGAGAAUGUACUCUUCAAUGAUAAUAAAACAGGCAAAAGGAUUGCAUCAGAGAAGAAAGACAAAACUACUUUCAGCACCCUCUUAAAAAAAGACAAAAUUAGACAAUCAACCCCCCAUGAAAAGCUAUCUGGGGAAAAAGAACUUGAUACUGUGAUUACAAGAGAAGGAGCAGGAAGCAAAGCUUCCUUAGGAGAAUAUGAAAAGGGAGUCCCCAAUGAAAUAGCUGAUGGAUCUAAGUCAGUAAAGAAAGUUCCUAUUCAGCCAUCAAGGAACCAUGAUAAAAAGCAACCUCAAAAAGUUCAGUUGGCUCCCCAAACCACUCAGGAUGAAAGGGGAGAACCUCCAGCUCUCAAAAAAGUGAGCAAAGUUAAAACUGAAGAAAAUAAAUCUCCUUUGACUGUGGAAGAAGUGAAGCUUUCUGGAAGAGAACUUCCAGUGACAGAAGGCAUAUCAGAUGAAAAAUCAGCAGUUAAGCAUGGCAUUGGCAAAAGUAGAUCUGUCCUCAAGAGAAAAGAGAAGGAAAAGCUUUCAGAUAAAACACCAUCAAGCAAAGGAAUCCCUGCAAAUGGAGAAGUUCCUUGCUCCUCAAGCAUAGGUAAGAUAAUUACUCCCAAGAAAGUAGAAGACCCAUUUAUAGGAGAGAAAGAAUCC